Long non-coding RNA from Pygocentrus nattereri (red-bellied piranha), 829 nucleotides. RefSeq lists it as uncharacterized. Lineage: Eukaryota; Metazoa; Chordata; Actinopteri; Characiformes; Serrasalmidae. The transcript has 3 exons. The record is from RefSeq and is a predicted model, not a curated record.
AAAAAUAUUUUGGAGGGUAGUAUAUAUAACCCUUGCACAUUGUUUAAAAAAUACUCAAAUAUAUUAGUCAGCAGGUGAAAACAUAUAUAAUGGGUAAAUUCUACCUACACUACCUAUUUGUAAACAGUAACAACUGCAACUUAAAAAAAUAGUGUAACACAUACUCAAAAAUUACUGGACCCGCGUGCCUUUGUCCUCGAGGGAGUUGAGCUGCUGCGCUGCUGUUUUGAAGGUAAGAUGUUGCUGUGUUUGAGCGCUAAAUUUAAUGUAAGUGUAAACCCUUUGAACAAGAUUUGUAGUCUGUGUUGUGUACAAGUGAACAUUGCUGAGGCUUUGUAGGGCAAUUCAACUUGGGCACUGUUUGGUGUAUUUUGAUUAGACCAGUGAUUCUGACUCCCGGACCUGGAUUAGCUGCCAUUCCCCUGCAGAUUUCAGUGUUUCCCCUAAUUAGUAUGAGGUGAACACUGAUAGGAACACAAGCAGUGUAGUGGCAGGCUGUGACUGUCUGAACGCCACUGGACUGGACUCAGGAGGCACGUUUGUGAUUAUUUCCCUCGCGCGGGCUUCACAGUACUUACAGCCGAAUAUGGUGCCCACUAGCACAUUUAGCUGGUCUGGCCAAACUCUCACAUCGUUUCAACCUGAAGUGUUAACUGCAUAUCCUGGACUUCUCUGUGUGAAGGUCUUCAAGUCUUGGACUCUCUUUCCUGUGGGCCUUAUACCAGUUUUCACAAAAGAUAUAUGAACACAAAAUAUUUGUACUUUUGUGAAGAGGGUGUCUGACUAAACUCAGCACUUAUUGAAGACCCGAAACGGACUAAAAUGGGAG